Molecule: long non-coding RNA, 237 nt
Filed under: Panax ginseng (ginseng)
Lineage: Eukaryota; Viridiplantae; Streptophyta; Magnoliopsida; Apiales; Araliaceae
Description: long non-coding RNA (PGIN_LNC010392)
Source: RNAcentral
AGGAAUUUGGAUAAAUUUUUAUGCGCACACGGUCAACCAACCCCGAGUUAACACCUGUUCAGGAAAAUAUAAACGGGAGAGGUUGGAAAGCGAGUGUUCGUAGAAAUUUACAAGAACAUUUAGAAAACACGACAGCUAACAUGGCAGCCGAGGCACAAGGAGAAGAGCAAAGAGAGGAGCAUAGAGCUCUGAAGGAGUAUUCCAUGCCCAAUAUUAAUGGACUACAGUUUAGCAUAG